RNAcentral lists this ribosomal RNA (825 nucleotides) under uncultured bacterium. RNAcentral's name for it is "bacterial SSU rRNA". It matches the Rfam family "Bacterial small subunit ribosomal RNA", at positions 556 to 1381 of the family's 1533-position model. The record is from RNAcentral.
GGGCGUAAAGAGCUCGUAGUGGUUUGUCGCGUCGUUUGUGUAAGUCCACAGCUUAACUGUGGGACUGCAGGCGAUACGGGCAUAACUUGAGUGCUGUAGGGAGACUGGAAUUCCUGGUGUACGGUGAAAUGCGCAGAUAUCAGGAGGAACACCGAUGGCGAAGGCAGGUCUCUGGGCAGUAACUGACGCUGAGGAGCGAAAGCAUGGGUAGCGAACAGGAUUAGAUACCCUGGUAGUCCAUGCCGUAAACGGUGGGCGCUAGUGUGAGUCCCUUCCACGGGAUUUGUGCCGUAGCUAACGCAUUAAGCGCCCCGCCUGGGGAGUACGGCCGCAAGGCUAAAACUCAAAGGAAUUGACGGGGGCCCGCACAAGCGGCGGAGCAUGUGGAUUAAUUCGAUGCAACGCGAAGAACCUUACCUGGGCUUGACAUGUAGCGGAUCGCCGCAGAGAUGUGGUUUCCCUUGUGGUCGCUAUACAGGUGGUGCAUGGUUGUCGUCAGCUCGUGUCGUGAGAUGUUGGGUUAAGUCCCGCAACGAGCGCAACCCUUGUCUUAUGUUGCCAGCACGUGAUGGUGGGGACUCAUGAGAGACUGCCGGGGUUAACUCGGAGGAAGGUGGGGAUGACGUCAAAUCAUCAUGCCCCUUAUGUCCAGGGCUUCACACAUGCUACAAUGGUCGGUACAGCGCGUUUGCUACCUUGUGAGGGGAUGCUAAUCGCACAAAGCCGGCCUUAGUUCGGAUUGGGGUCUGCAACUCGACCCCAUGAAGUCGGAGUCGCUAGUAAUCGCAGAUCAGCAACGCUGCGGUGAAUACGUUCCCCGGGCCU